AUGUUAAAGACUUUGAUACUCGACGACUGGUGUUUGCAUGCUGACCUCAGUGCUGUGAUUCAUUUUAUCCAACACUCGCCAAAUCUUGAGAAGGUUACUCUUAGAUUUAUUGAGGAAUUUGAUUCUUCAAUGGUGACAGAAGGAGAUAACAAUUUGUUGGAAGGAACAUUUUCAUCUGACCAUCUUAAAAUGGUUGAAAUCAAAUCUUUAAAGGUUGAUGGAAGAAUUAACAAAAUUCUCAAGAUCCUAAGUGCUUGUGGCAUAUCACUGGAAAAAAUCAAUAUCCGACAAGCCAAUACAAGUUCCUGA
RNAcentral lists this ribosomal RNA (309 nucleotides) under Triticum aestivum (bread wheat). RNAcentral's name for it is "partial small subunit ribosomal RNA". The record is from RNAcentral. Lineage: Eukaryota; Viridiplantae; Streptophyta; Magnoliopsida; Poales; Poaceae.